Molecule: non-coding RNA, 539 nt
Filed under: Neolecta irregularis DAH-3
Lineage: Eukaryota; Fungi; Ascomycota; Neolectomycetes; Neolectales; Neolectaceae
Description: Bacterial large subunit ribosomal RNA
Rfam family: Bacterial large subunit ribosomal RNA
Source: Rfam by way of RNAcentral
CACCUUGUCUAUGGAGUUAAAGAUAAUUGGAAAUGAUGAUUUUUAAACUUUAUUUAAAAACUUCACUCCCCCCCCCGCACAAAUUUAAUUUGUGCGGGAGGGGGGAAUGAUGAUUCCCCCCCCCGGGGGGGAAACUUCAUUCCCAAUAAAAUUUAUUUUAUUGGAAAUGAUGAUUUUUAAACUUUAUUUAAAAAACUUUAUUUAAAAAACUUCAUAGGGUAGCGGAACAUUCAGUGUAUGAAGGAAGAGUAGUGUUUCAUUACUGGGACAUAACUGAAGAGAUAAUGCCUGACACGAGUAACGUAAAAGGAGGUGAGAAUCCUCCUCGCCGAAAGCAAAAGGGUUUCAAAGUUAAGAUGAUCUGCUUUGAGUAAAGUAACGGCCUCUAAGUUUUAAUCCGACAGGGUUUAACGAUGAGAAAAUCUUCUCGUUGAAAAAAAACCUUUAAAUAUCUCUAAUUAAUAUUUUUAGAAUAAGUAUGAAUAAUUGCAUUUUAUCACAAUCAAAAUAUACAUCUAUCGGUUUCAAAACUAAAAAAA